GAUGAAGAACGCAGCGAAAUGCGAUACGUAAUGUGAAUUGCAGAAUUCAGUGAAUCAUCGAGUCUUUGAACGCACAUUGCGCCCCCUGGUAUUCCGGGGGGCAUGCCUGUCCGAGCGUCAUUACAACCCUCAAGCUCAGCUUGGUGUUGGGCCCCGCCGCCCCGGCGGGCCCUAAAGUCAGUGGCGGUGCCGUCCGGCUCCGAGCGUAGUAAUUCUUCUCGCUCUGGAGGUCCGGUCGUGUGCUUGCCAGCAACCCCCAAUUUUUUUCAGGUUGACCUCGGAUCAGGUAGGGAUACCCGCUGAACUUAAGCAUAUCAAUAAGCGGAGGA
RNAcentral lists this unclassified non-coding RNA (329 nucleotides) under soil metagenome. Its description in RNAcentral is "partial contains 5.8S ribosomal RNA, internal transcribed spacer 2, and large subunit ribosomal RNA". The stretch from base 1 to 120 matches the Rfam family "5.8S ribosomal RNA", at positions 35 to 154 of the family's 154-position model. The record is from RNAcentral.